RNAcentral lists this long non-coding RNA (1547 nucleotides) under Hordeum vulgare. RNAcentral's name for it is "long non-coding RNA (HVUL_LNC012291)". Lineage: Eukaryota; Viridiplantae; Streptophyta; Magnoliopsida; Poales; Poaceae. The record is from RNAcentral.
GUGAAAUAUGACUAAGUCUGAAAUCUGUUAUUAAGUAGUUGUGUUUCCAUGUGGAUUGCAAAGUAUCUAUAGGUUCUUUGUGCUAGUGCAAAGGAGUAAUUGAUAGAGCAUGUUUCCCUCUAUUAAAUUGGGCCAAUAAUUUGCAAAAUAAGUUUCGCAUCGUAGUUAUUCUCCCUACCAAGUAUGACAUGCUCGUGUAAAUUGUUGUGUAUUCGUCUUGUGAAUUUUUGCUAAGUGUGAGAGUGUGCUUAGUUCACCAUGCCAUGUUGAGAGGAUGCUAUCAAUGAAUCUGUGCAAUAUGUGUUCCUUUUUAGUUGGUGAUAGUUGUACUACUUGUUGCACUCUAUCACCUUGCUAAAUUUCAUGCCAAGAAAGUCCCUGUAGCAUCAUGAUAACUCUGCUUGUGAAACCCUCAUAUUUUCACUAAGUCAUAAUCUGUUAUGUUUUAUGCCAUCUUGUGAGCUUGAUUGCCAUUCAUCCAUGCUACUAUCCAUGUUGAUGCUUGAAUGAGUUGCUGUACAUCAUGUUUACUUCAUAUACAUGUCUUGGUUGAGUUUGUUAGCCUGAUGUAGUUGUUAGUUUUUGUGCCUGCAAGUGGCAUGUUGCUGUUUUUGGACAGAUUCCUUGUAGAAUUGUUUUGCACUUUGUGAGAGUUGUACCCCUUUAUUUUGCAUUAUCUUUAGGUUCAUUUCACCUAGAAUUUCGUGGCCAAUCCAGUGGCAUACUUGGGAUGCCAAGGAAUUGCCUAUGUACUCUCUCAAAUUCUGUUUUAUCAUCGUUGUCGUCCGUACCUUGUCGUGAUAGUCCCGAGAGAUCCGUAACCUGGUUUGCGAUGUUCUUUAUAUGCAUUUGUAUCAUUUUCUCGUGUUGCAUUAAUUUUUUCCAUGUUCAUGCAUGUCCAAAUAAUUAAUCUUGAGUUUCUGUCCAGAAUGACAAAAAACUAAAUAAUUCCUUGAGAAAGAUGACUAGUGUAGCAUUGCCAUGUUUUGUCCACACCAUACUCAUGUAUCAUGUUGUUUGAGCGUUGUGCCUCGGUUUUGUCUUCAUUGGAUGUUUUAUUUUAUUUUGGGUAGCACCAGGUGCCGAGUACAAGUGCGAUGUUCUGUUUGAGAACGUUCCUGAAGAUCAAUAGUUAUAUUCCCGAGGUGAAGUGUGAGACAAGAUGAUUGUUGACCUGGAUAUCGUUUCUAAUUUGGUUAUGCUUAGCUGCCUCGUUUCUAUUGUUAAUUAUUUCUCCCUACCACCUGAAUGUUAAGCCUCCAAAAAUGCCCUGAUAAGCCUUUGACCCCUCCACUUCCUAGCAAAUGAUGUUCGCCUAAGUUAGCGCUUGCUCCACCGUUCUUAUAGCAUUGCUAGUUGUAGGUGUACGGUCAUCCAUCUACUGACAUGGAUAUUUGGGAUACCAUCUUAUUAUUGCUAUAGAAUUUAAUGCACAUACAUACUUGGUAAAAGGCGGAAGGCUUGGCCUUUUGCUUGGUGUUUUGUUCCGCUUUUGCCGCCCUUGUUUCGGUCACCGGUGUUAUGUUCCAUACCGAGCACUCCUAAUA